Molecule: unclassified non-coding RNA, 328 nt
Filed under: soil metagenome
Description: partial contains 5.8S ribosomal RNA, internal transcribed spacer 2, and large subunit ribosomal RNA
Rfam family: 5.8S ribosomal RNA (bases 3-119)
Source: RNAcentral
GAGAAGAACGUAGCGAAAUGCGAUAAGUAAUGUGAAUUGCAGAAUUCAGUGAAUCAUCGAAUCUUUGAACGCACAUUGCGCCCCCUGGUAUUCCGGGGGGCAUGCCUGUCCGAGCGUCAUUACAACCCUCAAGCUCUGCUUGGUGUUGGGCCCCGCCGCCCCGGCGGGCCCUAAAGUCAGUGGCGGUGCCAUCCGGCUCCGAGCGUAGUAAUUCUUCUCGCUCUGGAGGUCCGGUUGUGUGCUUGCCAUCAACCCCCAAUUUUUUUCAGGUUGACCUCGGAUCAGGUAGGGAUACCCGCUGAACUUAAGCAUAUCAAUAAGCGGAGGA